UAAGGAAUAUUGGACAAUGGAGGCAACUCUGAUCCAGCCAUGCCGCGUGAAGGAUGAAGGCGCUCAGCGUUGUAAACUUCUUUUGAGUGGGAACAAAAACGGGACUUGUCCCGGACUGAGGGUACCACUAGAAUAAGCACCGGCUAACUCCGUGCCAGCAGCCGCGGUAAUACGGAGGGUGCAAGCGUUAUCCGGAAUCACUGGGUUUAAAGGGUGCGUAGGCGGUCGGAUAAGUCAGUCGUGAAAUGCC
RNAcentral lists this ribosomal RNA (250 nucleotides) under uncultured bacterium. Its description in RNAcentral is "partial 16S ribosomal RNA". It matches the Rfam family "Bacterial small subunit ribosomal RNA", at positions 355 to 603 of the family's 1533-position model. The record is from RNAcentral.